GUGCCAGCAGCCGCGGUAAUACGUAGGUGGCAAGCGUUGUCCGGGAAUUAUUGGGCGUAAAGCGCGCGCAGGUGGUUCCUUAAGUCUGAUGUGAAAGCCCCCGGCUCAACCGGGGAGGGUCAUUGGAAACUGGGGAACUUGAGUGCAGAAGAGGAUAGUGGAAUUCCAAGUGUAGCGGUGAAAUGCGUAGAGAUUUGGAGGAACACCAGUGGCGAAGGCGACUGUCUGGUCUGUAACUGACACUGAGGCGCGAAAGCGUGGGGAGCAAACAGGAUUAGAUACCCUGGUAGUCC
Molecule: ribosomal RNA, 293 nt
Filed under: uncultured microorganism
Description: partial 16S ribosomal RNA
Rfam family: Bacterial small subunit ribosomal RNA
Source: RNAcentral